This 1371-nucleotide ribosomal RNA is filed under the name uncultured beta proteobacterium. RNAcentral's name for it is "16S ribosomal RNA". It matches the Rfam family "Bacterial small subunit ribosomal RNA", at positions 30 to 1394 of the family's 1533-position model. Lineage: Bacteria; Pseudomonadati; Pseudomonadota; Betaproteobacteria. The record is from RNAcentral.
UGAACGCUGGCGGCAUGCCUUACACAUGCAAGUCGAACGGCAGCAUGAUCUAGCUUGCUAGAUUGAUGGCGAGUGGCGAACGGGUGAGUAAUACAUCGGAACGUGCCCUGUAGUGGGGGAUAACUAGUCGAAAGAUUAGCUAAUACCGCAUACGACCUGAGGGUGAAAGUGGGGGACCGCAAGGCCUCAUGCUAUAGGAGCGGCCGAUGUCUGAUUAGCUAGUUGGUGGGGUAAAGGCCCACCAAGGCGACGAUCAGUAGCUGGUCUGAGAGGACGAUCAGCCACACUGGGACUGAGACACGGCCCAGACUCCUACGGGAGGCAGCAGUGGGGAAUUUUGGACAAUGGGCGAAAGCCUGAUCCAGCAAUGCCGCGUGUGUGAAGAAGGCCUUCGGGUUGUAAAGCACUUUUGUCCGGAAAGAAAUGGCUCUGGUUAAUACCUGGGGUCGAUGACGGUACCGGAAGAAUAAGGACCGGCUAACUACGUGCCAGCAGCCGCGGUAAUACGUAGGGUCCAAGCGUUAAUCGGAAUUACUGGGCGUAAAGCGUGCGCAGGCGGUUGUGCAAGACCGAUGUGAAAUCCCCGAGCUUAACUUGGGAAUUGCAUUGGUGACUGCACGGCUAGAGUGUGUCAGAGGGGGGUAGAAUUCCACGUGUAGCAGUGAAAUGCGUAGAGAUGUGGAGGAAUACCGAUGGCGAAGGCAGCCCCCUGGGAUAACACUGACGCUCAUGCACGAAAGCGUGGGGAGCAAACAGGAUUAGAUACCCUGGUAGUCCACGCCCUAAACGAUGUCAACUAGUUGUUGGGGAUUCAUUUCCUUAGUAACGUAGCUAACGCGUGAAGUUGACCGCCUGGGGAGUACGGUCGCAAGAUUAAAACUCAAAGGAAUUGACGGGGACCCGCACAAGCGGUGGAUGAUGUGGAUUAAUUCGAUGCAACGCGAAAAACCUUACCUACCCUUGACAUGCCACUAACGAAGCAGAGAUGCAUUAGGUGCUCGAAAGAGAAAGUGGACACAGGUGCUGCAUGGCUGUCCUCAGCUCGUGUCGUGAGAUGUUGGCCCCAAGUCCCGCAACGAGCGCAACCCUUGUCUCUAGUUGCUACGAAAGGGCACUCUAGAGAGACUGCCGGUGACAAACCGGAGGAAGGUGGGGAUGACGUCAAGUCCUCAUGGCCCUUAUGGGUAGGGCUUCACACGUCAUACAAUGGUGCAUACAGAGGGUUGCCAAGCCGCGAGGUGGAGCUAAUCCCAGAAAAUGCAUCGUAGUCCGGAUCGUAGUCUGCAACUCGACUACGUGAAGCUGGAAUCGCUAGUAAUCGCGGAUCAGCAUGCCGCGGUGAAUACGUUCCCGGGUCUUGUACACACCGCC